Molecule: ribosomal RNA, 686 nt
Filed under: Pseudomonas sp. AP-252
Lineage: Bacteria; Pseudomonadati; Pseudomonadota; Gammaproteobacteria; Pseudomonadales; Pseudomonadaceae
Description: bacterial SSU rRNA
Rfam family: Bacterial small subunit ribosomal RNA
Source: RNAcentral
GCUGGCGGCAGGCCUAACACAUGCAAGUCGAGCGGUAGAGAGGUGCUUGCACCUCUUGAGAGCGGCGGACGGGUGAGUAAUGCCUAGGAAUCUGCCUGGUAGUGGGGGAUAACGUCCGGAAACGGACGCUAAUACCGCAUACGUCCUACGGGAGAAAGCAGGGGACCUUCGGGCCUUGCGCUAUCAGAUGAGCCUAGGUCGGAUUAGCUAGUUGGUGGGGUAAAGGCUCACCAAGGCGACGAUCCGUAACUGGUCUGAGAGGAUGAUCAGUCACACUGGAACUGAGACACGGUCCAGACUCCUACGGGAGGCAGCAGUGGGGAAUAUUGGACAAUGGGCGAAAGCCUGAUCCAGCCAUGCCGCGUGUGUGAAGAAGGUCUUCGGAUUGUAAAGCACUUUAAGUUGGGAGGAAGGGUACUUACCUAAUACGUGAGUAUUUUGACGUUACCGACAGAAUAAGCACCGGCUAACUCUGUGCCAGCAGCCGCGGUAAUACAGAGGGUGCAAGCGUUAAUCGGAAUUACUGGGCGUAAAGCGCGCGUAGGUGGUUCGUUAAGUUGGAUGUGGAAUCCCCGGGCUCAACCUGGGAACUGCAUCCAAAACUGGCGAGCUAGAGUAUGGUAGAGGGUGGUGGAAUUUCCUGUGUAGCGGUGAAAUGCGUAGAUAUAGGAAGGAACACCAGUGGC